UUUCCUGAGAUGGCUGUCAUGGAUAUUUCCUCCUUAGGUCAAUAUCAGGUAAUCAAGACAGAAUGCUGCUUUAUCAAGGGCAGGACUGUAAACUCUUGCAAGUCCUUCACUGGUAAGCCAACCAGCUAAAAAGACUUCUGAAUUAGACCUCACAUGUGAAUGGAAGUGGAUACAAGGGUUCAGCUCAAAAGUCUCAGAGCAAAAGCCUUUAGGCUCAUGUAAAAGGACAGCAUGAUGCAUCACAGCACUCAAGUAAGCUGACACAGCAUGCAUACACCAGGGCUACAACAUUUCAGUGGUCACUCCAGAAUAAGCAUCUGAAGAUGGUCACUGUCCUACACAGCAAUGCAACCACAUUUUUUUUUCCUUGAGACUGUCCCUUUGAAUGUCUGUUCACAGUUCUUUCCUGAGCAGGAAAAGUAAUUUGACCGGUUUUGAUGCAAAAUGUCUACUGCCUAGCAUUUUCUUCAGAGGUAUACAAAUAAAUUCCUGAAGAUUUUUCCACACACAGAAAAUCCCACAUUGUGUCUAGAAGAACAGAUUACAGAAACUUCACCACUUAAUAAACUGCUUAUCUUCAAAAAACCCGCUAUGGCCUAUUAUCUCAGCAGUAACUGCCAAGAUACAGCAAACUGUAACAGCUUCAGAAGACAGAGCAUCUGCUGAAGGAGUCCAAAGUAAUUUCCAGUUUUCAAAAACAAGAGUUAUGUCAACUCACUUGCCUUAUACAAUUAUCCAAAGCAGUCCAUUGAGAGGUCCAAGAUCAUUAGUGAACAUAUAAUAAAAGAUCCCUUUUUAAGAUAAUCACUGGAAAAUUUUAUGACUUUACCAAGAUUAUUUUAAUCUUGGCUAAUCUUACUUCAAGCAGAUCUCCUUAAGUCCAGUUAUGUUCCUGAGCUCUAAAACAUCUGGUGAAAACGGAAGAAUUACUUUGACUCCUUCUAAGACUCUGGUGUCAAAGGGUCAGACUAUUUUCACCGGACUAAUACAAGGCCAUGGCAAGACUCACACUGCAGAUUUGCUCGUCUGACCUCCUGAAGCAUUUCUGGAAGUCAGCUGAAGCGCUGCCCGCCUUGCAUUAUCACCUGUGCUCCCACCAUUUCGGCAUGGGAGACCUGCACCACCAGCUGGGUAAAUCCAGCGCCUUUUGGCUUUCCGUGCGCUGUUCUUAAAUUACCUGAUCUGCUGCUUCUCCUUGGCCAAACCUGCCCUUUGGUUAGGAAAGCGUCGGGAAGCCGAUCCGCACAGCUAGAUGGAGGUGUAUAUUGUACACGAAGCCAUAGGCAAAGGUAAACCACACAUCCGUGAUUUCACAGAAAGCUGCACCCUUGGGAGAUGAUCAAGAGUUUUGUCGCUUUGGUUUUAGGUAGCUGAAGUCUCACUGACAGUGAACUCUCCCAUUAGCUAUCCGAGGACAAUGGCUUCUGUACCAGGAUUUUUAAACCCCGCAGCGUUUGUUUUAUCCCGAAAGAGAAGGAGCUGAUGCCCACUGGGAGGCAGUACGGGCCAAUGGACACGGUGUUCGUGCCAGCCAGCCCCUCUCUCUGCCGCAGCCACCAAUGACAGCAGAUUGGAGAAGGCGUCAUGUUUCUGUUUGACCGCUGUGUCUGCCUGCCCUGAUUCCUCAACAGCGAGCAUCGUCUACCUUUCUUCUUCUCACGCACAGGCCAUGCAGUCGGACUCCAGAAGUAUUAGAUUAGUACUGACCUUGGAAAUGUUUUAUUUCAGUUGUAUCCUUGUUAAGGAUGUGCUGAACUUUCCAAUUCUGCAUUUACAGUUCCUCCUAUGUAGUAAAGUGCCUGAGAAGACCUAUAGAACAUAUUUUCACUCUUGUAGAAUUUGUAUCAGCUAAGACAGAAAAUUCAAAUUAAAUUUGGCUUUGGAUUGCCUCCAGUACUAUUCAAAACUACUUUUCAAAGUCUUUUACAACCUGGAGAGAAAAAGAUGGAGGGUUAAACAUAGUCUUUAGUCCCACUCAGUUACAAAAUGUAAGUAAAUAUAAAUUUAUAUAUAAAAAUAUAAGUAUAUAUAAAAGUAAAAGAAGUACAUAAUAUAAAAAUAUAUAAAUGUAAACCAUGAUGCUUUUACUAUACAGGCAGUAUUAAAACAAAACACAAAUCUGUUAUUAGGGAAUUAAUCCAUCUCUGUUAGACUGAUAUUUAGUCAUUCAAAUGCUUCAAACAGGCUGGCAACUGUCACAAUGUUUGUGUCUGUAUGUGGACACCUACUGCUUGUCACAUAGAAAUCAUAUGUUCACUUCUCCAUGUAUGACUCCAAAUAAAUAUGCAAUGGCAUUUAAGUCAUUACAAAGCCUGGCUGCUCUUGAACCAGAGACCUAGGAUGACCUGGAGGUGAGGUAUCCCAUUACCAAUCCCCUAAGCCAUGCAGUUGCCUUAUUGCUGGGGAUUUGGGGGAUGGUGUCUGGAGCAGGGUCACUAAUCAAUGUCAAAACCUCAUGCAGUUGCUCGCAUAGGAGAAGCAUCUGGAUGUGGAUCUACCCCUUAACUAUUGUCCUGAAUAUCUGGCCACAAAAAACUACUCUGCUUGUUCAGAACACAGUGUCUGAAAGGAAAUUCCUACAGACUUUUGUACCUCUCAAGGUGAAAAUUAUGUGUUACAAAGCUCCAUCAUACAACAAGCUGCUCUAAAGGCUUCAUUCUACAUAAAACCUCACAUUUUGCUCAUUUGAGGGUUUUCUUCUAUCAACACACAGACUAUCUUUGUAAAAUCUGCAGUUCAGGGGCCAAAUUUUCUUUCUACUUAGUGCAGAGAGCACAAAACACACCUGUUUUUUUUUUUUUCAUGUAAAUAGGUUUGAAAUUAAAUCUUUGAAAUUAGCAACGGUGUGCUGGUUUUGACUGGGGUAGAGUCUAUCUUGAGACUAGCUGGUAUGGGGCUACAUUUUGGUUUUGUGCUGGAAAGGAUAACACCAGGAUGUUUUGGUUGUUGCUGCUCAGGGCUUGCCCAGGAUCAAGGCCUUUUGUGCUCCUCACCACCAGACAGGAGGCUGGGGGCUACAUGAGGAAUUGGGAGAGGACACAGCUGGGGCAGCUGUCCCCCACUGACCAAAGGAUAUUCCAGACCAUAUGGCACCAUGCUCGGUAUAUAAAGCUGGGGGUAGAAAAAGGAAGGGAGUGGUACACUUGAAUUGAUGUUAUUUGUCUUCCCAAGUCACCAUAAGGCAUGAUGAAGCUCAGCUUUCCUGGAGAUAGCUGAACACCCACCUGCCUAUGGGAAGGGGUGAAUGAGUUUCUUCUUUUGCUUUGCUUGUGUGCAUAGCUUUUUCUUUACUUAUUUAAAUGUCUUUACCUCAACCCAAAAGUUUUCCUACUUUUACCCUUCCAGUUCUCACCCACAUCCUGCUGGGGGUGAGUGCCUGAGAGGUGGUGUGGUGCUUAGUUGCCAGCUGGGGUUAAACCAUGACAAAUGGAUUCUAGACCUCAAACAGUUACACUUUCCUGAGAUGUUUCCAGAUAUAACUACCAGUACUUCAUUAAGCGCAGUAUUUCCCCACACAAUAUACUCUAGGCUUCGUGUAAUAGCAAACUUGGUCAUGCUUUGAUUAAAGAAAGUGUUGGAAAAUGCCAGCUGGCAGAAAGUAACUUGGUUCCUAAGCAGAAUACUCUCAACACAAACAACACCUUUGCUCCAGUGAAGCCUUCCAGCUCCGUGUAAUCUCUUUUCCCAUCCUGACCUUACAUUUGGAUGGUCAUCACUAAACAAAGCCUUUGCUGUUUUCCGCACUCUUACUUCGGAUCUAAGGCGAGCUGGCCAUUGACACUUACAGAAAGCUCAUGCAGUGUCUCAGCCCUACAGCAGAUUUAUUAGUACUGCAUAUCAAAGUCCUGGUGUGUCCUGGUGGAAUCCAAAACACACCUUCCCUAGUUUUCAUCUGAGAAGGUAGGAAGUCAAUGUGUGGCUGAAGAUGCCUGGCCAGAUCUCCCUUUAUUUUAAGCUCAUAUUCUCUUCUGACACCACCCUCGGCACUGAAGGAUUUGAAGAGAGAUUCUGGAUUAAUGAGGUGGUCACUACAAGGAAUUAUCCAAAGGUUUGGCAUACAUUAUGAUGAAUAUAAAGUUAUGCCGUAAAUAUUUACAGUGUAUGUAUAUUUAACCUCAGAGUUGACAAAAAUGAAGUACAGGAUUUUAAAUUCUUCCUAAUUUCUGAGAUUGUUUUAAAAGUACUUUAAUCAAAUAAGUACCUCUGGGGAAUACUUAAUAUAUGCUGUUGCAACUUACACUGUGAUUGCUUAAUCUUCACUGUUUUGUGUUCAUAAUCUCUAGUCUUUAAUACCAUUCUUCCUGUAAUUCUCAAUUAUCCUUCUUUUUUUAAGCCAGCAGUUUAGCCAUGCAUGUCCUACCAAAAAUUAUCCUUCAGUGUUUCAGCAUUUGAAUAGAUGCUUUUGGCAGAGUACUGUUCGCCUCCUUUGCUUUUCCUGUCACUUUUAUGAAGAAUGUGUUAUGAAGUUCCUGUCAUUACAUUUAGCCCCCAUACUCCUGUCAUGCCUACUUAGUCUGUUUUAUUCCUGCAGUAUCACCUCCAGCUCCUCUUCUCUUUUCCCACACAUCAACAGUAAGCAAGCUCAUUAUUUUGUACUGGUCUGGACUCUACCAAUGUCCUGAAGAUUGGAAUGUAAAAUGAUUCUUUUUCCAGCUGCCCUUUCUGAUAAUGAGUACCAGUAAAUGUUUAUGAACUAUAUUGUAUUAUUAAUACUGCU
Molecule: long non-coding RNA, 4717 nt
Organism: Passer domesticus (house sparrow)
Lineage: Eukaryota; Metazoa; Chordata; Aves; Passeriformes; Passeridae
Exons: 2
Source: RefSeq, a predicted model, not a curated record